Molecule: ribosomal RNA, 518 nt
Filed under: uncultured bacterium
Lineage: Bacteria
Description: bacterial SSU rRNA
Rfam family: Bacterial small subunit ribosomal RNA
Source: RNAcentral
CUGAUCCAGCCAUGCCGCGUGCGGGAAGAAGGCCUUCGGUUGUAACCGCUUUGUCGGGGAAGGAAACGUCGCGACCUAAUACGUCGCGGUAAUGACGGUACCUGAAGAAUAAGCACCGGCUAACUACGUGCCAGCAGCCGCGGUAAUACGUAGGGUGCAAGCGUUAAUCGGAAUUACUGGGCGUAAAGCGUGCGCAGGCGGUCAUGCAAGACAGAUGUGAAAUCCCCCGAGCUCAACUUGGGAACUGCAUUUUGUGACUGCAUGGCUUGAGUGCGGCAGAGGGGGAUGGAAUUCCGCGUGUAGCAGUGAAAUGCGUAGAUGCGGAGGAACACCGAUGGCGAAGGCAAUCCCCCUGGGCCUGCACUGACGCUCAUGCACGAAAGCGUGGGGAGCAAACAGGAUUAGAUACCCUGGUAGUCCACGCCUAAACGAUGUCAACUGGUUGUUGGAGGGGUUUCUCUUCAGUAACGAAGCUAACGCGUGAAGUUGACCGCCUGGGGAGUACGGCCGCAAGGUUG